GACGAACGCUGGCGGCGUGCUUAACACAUGCAAGUCGAGCGGAAAGGCCCUUUCGGGGGUACUCGAGCAGCGAACGGGUGAGUAACACGUGAGUAAUCUGCCCCUGGCUUUGGGAUAGCCACCGGAAACGGUGAUUAAUACCGGAUACGACCACUUCUCGCAUGGGAUGGUGGUGGAAAGUUUUUCGGCCAGGGAUGUGCUCGCGGCCUAUCAGCUUGAUGGUGAGGUAAUGGCUCACCAUGGCUUCGACGGGUAGCCGGCCUGAGAGGGUGACCGGUCACCCUGGGACUGAGACCCGGCCCAGACUCCUACGGGAGGCAGCAGUGGGGAAUAUUGGACAAUGGGCGGAAGCCUGAUCCAGCAACGCCGCGUGAGGGAUGACGGCCUUCGGGUUGUAAACCUCUUUCAGCAGGGACGAAGCGCAAGUGACGGUACCUGCAGAAGAAGCGCCGGCCAACUACGUGCCAGCCGCCGCCGUAA
This 480-nucleotide ribosomal RNA is filed under the name uncultured bacterium. RNAcentral's name for it is "partial 16S ribosomal RNA". It matches the Rfam family "Bacterial small subunit ribosomal RNA", at positions 28 to 523 of the family's 1533-position model. The record is from RNAcentral.